UAACGAAGGUCGCGAACCCGCGAGGGGGAGCCAAUCCCAAAAAGCCGCUCUCAGUUCGGAUUGCAGGCUGCAACUCGCCUGCAUGAAGCCGGAAUCGCUAGUAAUCGCGGAUCAGCAUGCCGCGGUGAAUACGUUCCCGGGCCUU
Molecule: ribosomal RNA, 145 nt
Filed under: uncultured Anoxybacillus sp.
Lineage: Bacteria; Bacillati; Bacillota; Bacilli; Caryophanales; Anoxybacillaceae
Description: partial 16S ribosomal RNA
Rfam family: Bacterial small subunit ribosomal RNA
Source: RNAcentral